GCUUUGACUACCAAGUCAGCUGAUUGCAAUGAGUGCCCAGGGACUCUGCUGCAAUGCUGAUACUGAGAAGGAGUGACCACAAGGACAGACCCUUCUGCUACAGGAGCCCACCAGAGCUGAAGUGCUUAGUGGCUCUUUUUAGGUUUUUUUUUUAAAACGUGUUCUCAGUAUGAUCUUCAGGCUGACCUCUAACUCACCAUUCUCCUGACACAUCCUUCCAAGGCCUGGGAUUACAGAGUCAGCCUCCGAAGCUCCUCCUGUAGAACCCACUCUUAAGGAGCACAUACGGAGACAAUGUGAGCUGGAGCAUUCAAGAGGACUGAGACAUAGAGACAAGGUGCUGGACAGGCAAGAGGAGCCUUCCAGGAAGAGUCCUGGCCUGAGCAGAAUGGAAGAGAAUUCGUGUACAGUGGAUUCCUAUGAGACAGCUUCAUGAAGUCCUAAGGAGAAGGAGGCUGAAGCCUAUGGCCAAAUGACUGGCAGAAGCUGCUGAAGAACUGGUCCAUCACAUGGACAUUUCAUGGUUCUCUUAGAACAAGCAUCUGGGACUUCCUCUCGAUUCAGGUUACAGUCCAUCAGGGAAGAAAGCCAAGGCAGGAACCUGAAGACAGGAACUGAAGCAGAGACUAUGGAGAAAGGCUACUCAUUGACUCCUUCCUUGUGAUUUGCUCAGCUUGCUUUCUUGUACAACCCAAUACCAUCUACUCAGGGGUUGUACCUCACACAGUGGGCUGGAUCUUCUCACAGAAAUCAUUAAUAAAGAAAAUGCCCCAUAGGUCACUCUUCCCAGGAAAAUUAACCAGCAUAUUCCCACAAGGCUCCUCAUGUGACCACCUUGUGGGAAGAAAGCUCAAAUGUGGGGGACUGAGAGUGUGAAGACAGUGGACAAGUGCUCACUCUCCCAGGGAUGUCUGUUCUACUUGGUAUUCCAGGGUUGGCCUCUAUUGGGUUCUUUGUCAGCUCAUCAGCCUGGCAUGCUACCAUGUGAGUGUGCUCUAUUUAUCAACCUUUUGCAUUCCAAAGAGUCCUGGAUCUGCCUCCUUUACAAAAUAAUACUGAAAGUGAAUGUAUUUGGUGUUGGUGCUAGCAUCUUGUGGAUGCUAGGUGAGCAUUCUGUUACUAAGCUAUAUCAUCUUUUAAAAUUUUUUUUUUUAUUUUGAGACAGAUUCAAUAAGUUAACCAGAAUACUUUGUAUCCCAGAUUGGCCUUGAAUUUGUAAUCUUCCUAUCUCAGCCUUCCAAGUUGUUACUGAAAUUAAAGGUCUUUACCACCAGG
Mus musculus (house mouse) is the source of this 1275-nucleotide long non-coding RNA. RefSeq annotates it as predicted gene 12092. NCBI's taxonomy places the organism in Eukaryota, Metazoa, Chordata, Mammalia, Rodentia, Muridae. The record is from RefSeq and is marked validated. The transcript has 4 exons.